ACGAUAACCCGACACGAAACCGCACGAAAUUAAUGGGUUAGAAACACGCACGAUAAGGUUCGGGUCCUUAUCGGGUCGACCUGAUAAGGAUCUGAUAAUUUCGGGUCGGGUUCGGGUUGGGUCGGGUUCGGUUCAGGUAACCCGAUAAUAAUAUUAUUAUUUUUAUUAAACAUUUAUUUUAAAUUUUAAAUUUUUAUUUUCUUAGUUUACUUUAGGUUAGUAGGGUUUCAUAUCAUUCAUCCCUUCCAAUUUCCCCGCCGCACACCCGUUUCGUCCCUUGACUCCCUUCCAAUUUCCAUUCUUCCAAGUUCCAACUCCGCCGCCCGCCGCCGCACUGCCCCGCCCCGCCGCCCGCACUCGACGUCGACUCUCAAGUCACAGCCACAUCGACGACGACGGCCCGGCGCAGCCCUUCUUCGAGUCGCCGCCCCAUCCCACUGUCGAAUCUCACGGCUCCCUCUUCGCCGCCUCUCUCCCAAAGUUCCAGUCGGCGCGGAGGAGAGGAGGAGCAAGAAGAAGAAGCAGAGGAAGAGGAGGCAUCGGAGUUACUUCUCGUCGUCUGAGUCCUCAUAGUCGGAUUCUGGUUCCGACUCUGAUUCGGAGGAGAGGAGUCGUCGGAAGAAGGGUAAGAGCAGGAGGCAUGGGAGAAGGCACUAAUGGAUCUUGAUUUAUUUGUUCUUUGUUGUUAUAGGUAAUUAUGUCUAGCAAUGAUGAUGAUGGUGAUGAAAAUACUUUUACGACAUAUACAAGUGAAAUGCCUUGUAUUGCUUCUACUGCUAGCCCUGCAGCUGCUGCCCCUUCUGCUGCCACAGAUGCAGAAACUGGUUUAGGGACGUCCAAUCCUACAGCUAAGCCCCCAACGAACAAAAGAAAACCGAGGAUGAGUAUGUCUUGAUAUGAAGAACUAUUUGUGGAUUGGACUCCAAGAACGGGCACUAGAUGGCGAUAUUUUUAUGUUGUUAGACUUUUAUUUUGUUGAACUUGAAACACUUCACUAGAUGGCGAUAUUUUUAUGUUGUUAGACUUUUAUUUUGUUGAACUUGAAACACUUCACUAGAUGGCGAUAUUUUUAUGUUGCUAGACUUUUAUUUUGUUGGACUCAACCUAUGAUUUAUGUUGAUGAAUGGGACUUAUUAUGUGAGCUUUUAAAUUUCA
Molecule: RNA transcript, 1155 nt
Organism: Salvia miltiorrhiza (redroot sage)
Lineage: Eukaryota; Viridiplantae; Streptophyta; Magnoliopsida; Lamiales; Lamiaceae
Exons: 3
Source: RefSeq, a predicted model, not a curated record